UGCCAGCCGCCGCGGUAAUACGGAGGGUGCAAGCGUUGUUCGGAAUUACUGGGCGUAAAGAGCGUGUAGGCGGUCUGUUAAGUCGGGUGUGAAAGCCCAGGGCUCAACCCUGGAACUGCAUUCGAAACUGGCAAACUGGAGUGUCGGGGAGGGUGGUAGAAUUCCCGGUGUAGAGGUGAAAUUCGUAGAUAUCGGGAGGAAUACCGGUGGCGAAGGCGACCACCUGGCCAGAUACUGACGCUGAGGUGCGAAAGCGUGGGGAGCAAACAGGAUUAGAUA
This 279-nucleotide ribosomal RNA is filed under the name uncultured bacterium. RNAcentral describes it as "partial 16S ribosomal RNA". It matches the Rfam family "Bacterial small subunit ribosomal RNA", at positions 506 to 784 of the family's 1533-position model. The record is from RNAcentral.